This 478-nucleotide ribosomal RNA is filed under the name uncultured bacterium. RNAcentral describes it as "partial 16S ribosomal RNA". It matches the Rfam family "Bacterial small subunit ribosomal RNA", at positions 28 to 523 of the family's 1533-position model. The record is from RNAcentral.
GACGAACGCUGGCGGCGUGCUUAAUACAUGCAAGUCGAACGGUAAGGCCCUUCGGGGUACACGAGUGGCGAACGGGUGAGUAACACGUGGGUGAUCUGCCCUGCACUUCGGGAUAAGCCUGGGAAACUGGGUCUAAUACCGGAUAGGACCACUGCCUGCAUGGGUGGUGGUGGAAAGCUUUUGCGGUGUGGGAUGGGCCCGGGGCGUAUGAGCGUGUUGGUGGGGUGAUGGCGUACCAAGGCGACGACGGGUAGCCGGCCUGAGAGGGUGACCGGCCACGCUGGGACUGGGAUACGGCCCAGACUCCUACGGGAGGCAGCAGUGGGGAAUAUUGCACAAUGGGCGCAAGCCUGACGCAGCGACGCCGCGUGGGGGAUGACGGCCUUCGGGUUGUAACCCUCUUUCAGCACCGACGAAGCGCAAGUGACGGUAGGUGCAGAAGAAGGACCGGCCAACUACGUGCCAGCCGCCGCCGUAA